Molecule: long non-coding RNA, 1203 nt
Filed under: Apteryx haastii (Great spotted kiwi)
Lineage: Eukaryota; Metazoa; Chordata; Aves; Apterygiformes; Apterygidae
Description: lncRNA (ENSAHAG00000019113.1)
Source: RNAcentral
AUGGGGCUCGGGCUUCCCUUCCCCGCCGUCGUGCCGACCAUGGGGCAAAUCGCUCCGUUCGUGCCUCCGGUGACGGGAGCGGUGCAACCGCGGGAGCCUCCGCUGCAGCGCCUGUCGGCAGAGGGAGCCCGCUGGGAGCAGCCCGGGCCCUGGCUCCCGCGGCAGCGUGGGGCGCCGGCGUGGGGCUGGCUCACUGCCGUCAUGCCGUGGGGCCGUGCUUUCCGUGCYGGCAGCAGUGUGCCGCCUGCUCGGCCUGCUGCUGCCCCGCCAUCGAGCGUCGCCCCGCGCACGGGAAGGGCUCAGCCGCCGCCAUUCCCGGGACGCCGAGGCCGCUGCUGCCCGCUGCAACGCAAGCCGGCGCCGACGGCACGUGGCACCGCGGGCACGGAGCCGCCUGGGCGCGUGCCGGACGCUGGAGCGGGCAGGGCGAAACCUGCGUGCAGCUCCGGCUCCGGCCAGCUCCCGGACGUGCGGGGGGCCCUAAUGAGACUGCCCGGCUCUGGUAAGGCAUGCGGAGAUGUUCCCAGCCCCCUCGUUACGCAAUGGCACUCAGCCUGUUUAUUCGGGCGCCGAGCCGGGGAGAGGAUUUGUCCCUUAAUAUUCGGRCGAGGGGCAUUAACUAUUUGCUCCCCGUGUCCCCGCGGCAGCCGUGCAGAGGCCGGCUCCACAUCCCCCUUCUCUCCGGCAUCGUGGGCCCUGCGUCAGCCAGGCCUGCUUAUACCGCGGGUGUUAAAUACCCUCGGCAUCAAUAGUGAGAUUGUUUCUAAUUACACCCUUCCUCUGGCAGCUCUUAACGCAGGCGGAUGGGAACUCGACCCGUUUUAUUUCAGCGAACGGCAGUUUGGACACCCAAAGCUGAGCAGACCAAACAAGCGCGCUCCACRGGGCGGGCGCUGCCUGCUCUUCUCUGCCGGGGGUGAGCAGCCGCUGGCCCGUGCCCAAGGCUCGGGCGAGGGCAGCAAGCCCACGAGCUGCUGGAGCCGGAGCCAGGCGGGAGCUGCGGAGCUUGGCCACGGCUCAGCCCCCGGACCCGGCUGUCCCUGCGAGGCACGGCGCGGAGCGUGCCGCGGCGCCUCGUUGAGCAAGGGCCAGACCUUUAACCGCAGGUGCAGCUCGCUCCAGAGCCCUUGUUCAGGCUCCUGCGGUGUUGGCAGGUCUUGCCAGGCGGUAGGAAAGACGGAGGGAAAGGAGGGGGAAACCUAA